Molecule: ribosomal RNA, 254 nt
Filed under: uncultured bacterium
Lineage: Bacteria
Description: partial 16S ribosomal RNA
Rfam family: Bacterial small subunit ribosomal RNA
Source: RNAcentral
UACGUAGGCAGCAAGCGUUGUUCGGAGUUACUGGGCGUAAAGGGUGUGUAGGCGGUUAUUUAAGUUUGGUGUGAAAUCUCCCGGCUCAACCGGGAGGGUGCGCCGAAUACUGAAUGACUUGGAGUGCGGGAGAGGAAAGUGGAAUUCCUUGUGUAGCGGUGAAAUGCGUAGAUAUCAGGAGGAACACCGGUGGUGUAGACGGCUUUCUGGACCGUAACUGACGCUGAGACACGAAAGCGUGGGUAGCAAACAGG